Molecule: transfer RNA, 67 nt
Filed under: Pelodiscus sinensis (Chinese soft-shelled turtle)
Lineage: Eukaryota; Metazoa; Chordata; Testudines; Trionychidae
Rfam family: tRNA
About the family: Transfer RNA (tRNA) molecules are approximately 80 nucleotides in length. Their secondary structure includes four short double-helical elements and three loops (D, anti-codon, and T loops). Further hydrogen bonds mediate the characteristic L-shaped molecular structure. tRNAs have two regions of fundamental functional importance: the anti-codon, which is responsible for specific mRNA codon recognition, and the 3' end, to which the tRNAs corresponding amino acid is attached (by aminoacyl-tRNA synthetases). tRNAs cope with the degeneracy of the genetic code in two manners: having more than one tRNA (with a specific anti-codon) for a particular amino acid; and 'wobble' base-pairing, i.e. permitting non-standard base-pairing at the 3rd anti-codon position.
Source: Rfam by way of RNAcentral
GUGGCCUAAUAGACAAGGCACUGGCCUUGAGAGCUAGAGGUUGUGGGUUCAAGUCCCACCUGGGUUA